Molecule: ribosomal RNA, 509 nt
Filed under: uncultured bacterium
Lineage: Bacteria
Description: partial 16S ribosomal RNA
Source: RNAcentral
GGAGUUAGCCGGUGCUUCUUCUGUGAGUGAUGUCCUUCCUGCCGGCUAUUAACCCGCAGGCCUUCUUCCUCACUGAAAGUGCUUUACAACCCGAAGGCCUUCUUCACACACGCGGCAUGGCUGGAUCAGGGUUGCCCCCAUUGUCCAAUAUUCCCCACUGCUGCCUCCCGUAGGAGUCUGGGCCGUGUCUCAGUCCCAGUGUGGCUGAUCAUCCUCUCAGACCAGCUACGGAUCGUCGCCUUGGUGAGCCGUUACCUCACCAACCAGCUAAUCCGACAUAGGCUCAUCCGAUAGCGCGAGGCCCGAAGGUCCCCCGCUUUCCCCCGUAGGGCGUAUGCGGUAUUAGCCUGGGUUUCCCCAGGGUUAUCCCCCACUACCGGGGCAGAUUCCUAUGCAUUACUCACCCGUCCGCCGCUCGCCACCAGGGAGCAAGCUCCCCGUGCUGCCGCUCGACUUGCAUGUGUUAGGCCUGCCGCCAGCGUUCAAUCUGAGCCAGAAUCAAACUCUGA